Molecule: long non-coding RNA, 683 nt
Organism: Cyprinus carpio (common carp)
Lineage: Eukaryota; Metazoa; Chordata; Actinopteri; Cypriniformes; Cyprinidae
Source: Ensembl
CGGCAAGGAAAGUUGGAGAUUACACGACCACAGACAGUGGCUUGUGGAGAUGCAGCUGGUUUAAACAGCAUAUAUCCAGUUGGGAGAACAGAUGAAGAUUUACAUUCAAGAAAGAUAUGGACAUCCGCAUUGUCACGUGAAGAACAUGUUGCAACUGCUGGAAGCCUUCAAAGAAUAGCUGGUCUUUCACAGGGGAGGCAGAGGCGCUUUCUGAUGAUGGCACCAGAAAUUCUACAACUGACCGGACUGAUGACAAACUAUGCUUGCAGUCGACCCCAUGACUGGAGGAUAUAUAUGAGACAACGAGAUGCUCAAUUCAUUCUGAGGUGAAAAUAAUCAGUAAUAAUUGCUGUCACUUGUGCCAGGGUGGUGAUGACAGUACUGAAAUGCCUGUUGAUUUAACCGGAAAACGCUACCAGACUCCAAUGUCAAACAUAGACAAAAUGAGUUGUGCAGUUUAAGGGUUACUGCAUCAUUUUAUCAAAAAUAUUUAAAUAAUUUCUUAUACUUCAAACCCAUACAUUUAAUACAGCAUCAGGUUUGAUUUUUUUUUUUAUUGCAAAUAAUUAAGCUCCAGUACAGAAAUGUUCCCUUGACAUCUUGUUAAUUAAUGACAUGCUGUAAUGUCUCCAACCACCAAUAGAAAAACUGCCAAUAUAAUAAAUCAGACCACAAAUCUCGCA